CCUACGGGGGGCUGCAGUGGGGAAUAUUGGACAAUGGGCGCAAGCCUGAUCCAGCAAUGCCGCGUGUGUGAAGAAGGCCUGCGGGUUGUAAAGCACUUUACGCAGGAAAGAAGGGGUGAAAGUUAAUACCUUUCAUCAUUGACGUUACCUGCAGAAUAAGCACCGGCUAACUCCGUGCCAGCAGCCGCGGUAAUACGGAGGGUGCGAGCGUUAAUCGGAGUUACUGUAGGUGAAGCGCGCAUAGCGGGGUGAAAGCCCUGGGCUUAACCUGGGAACGGCGGUGGAUACUGUCGGGCUAGAGUGUGGUAGAGGGGAGUGGAAUUUCCGGUGUAGCAGUGAAAUGCGUAGAGAUCGGAAGGAACACCAGUGGCGAAGGCGGCUCCCUGGACUAACACUGACGCUGAGGUGCGAAAGCGUGGGGAGCAAACAGGAUUAGAUACCCCUGUAGUC
RNAcentral lists this ribosomal RNA (450 nucleotides) under uncultured bacterium. RNAcentral describes it as "partial 16S ribosomal RNA". It matches the Rfam family "Bacterial small subunit ribosomal RNA", at positions 338 to 795 of the family's 1533-position model. The record is from RNAcentral.